RNAcentral lists this ribosomal RNA (253 nucleotides) under uncultured bacterium. Its description in RNAcentral is "partial 16S ribosomal RNA". It matches the Rfam family "Bacterial small subunit ribosomal RNA", at positions 524 to 776 of the family's 1533-position model. The record is from RNAcentral.
UACGGAGGGGGCUAGCGUUGUUCGGAAUUACUGGGCGUAAAGCGCGCGUAGGCGGCUUUGUAAGUUAGAGGUGAAAGCCCGGAGCUCAACUCCGGAACUGCCUUUAAAACUGCAUCGCUUGAAUCAUGGAGAGGUGAGUGGAAUUCCGAGUGUAGAGGUGAAAUUCGUAGAUAUUCGGAAGAACACCAGUGGCGAAGGCGACUCACUGGACAUGUAUUGACGCUGAGGUGCGAAAGCGUGGGGAGCAAACAGG